GACGAACGCUGGCAGCGUGCUUAACACAUGCAAGUCGAGCGGUAAGGCCCUUUCGGGGGUACACGAGCGGCGAACGGGUGAGUAACACGUGGGUGACCUGCCCUUAGCUCUGGGAUAAGCCUGGGAAACUGGGUCUAAUACCGGAUAUGACUCCAUGACGCAUGUUGUGGGGUGGAAAGCCUUGUGCGGCUAGGGAUGGGCCCGCGGCCUAUCAGCUUGUUGGUGGGGUGAUGGCCUACCAAGGCGACGACGGGUAGCCGGCCUGAGAGGGCGACCGGCCACACUGGGACUGAGACACGGCCCAGACUCCUACGGGAGGCAGCAGGUGGGGAAUCUUGCGCAAUGGGCGAAAGCCUGACGCAGCGACGCCGCGUGGGGAUGACGGCC
RNAcentral lists this ribosomal RNA (387 nucleotides) under uncultured bacterium. Its description in RNAcentral is "bacterial SSU rRNA". It matches the Rfam family "Bacterial small subunit ribosomal RNA", at positions 28 to 416 of the family's 1533-position model. The record is from RNAcentral.